This 108-nucleotide non-coding RNA is filed under the name Anaerocolumna jejuensis. Its description in RNAcentral is "NiCo sequence". It matches the Rfam family "NiCo (Nickel/Cobalt) riboswitch aptamer". RNAcentral also lists the same sequence under 1 other name. Lineage: Bacteria; Bacillati; Bacillota; Clostridia; Lachnospirales; Lachnospiraceae. The record is from RNAcentral.
ACAGUACAAACUGAGCAGGCGAUAGACCUUAUAAUUAAGGGUUUGUGGGGCCGGGCCAUGAAACGUGUGGCAACAGAUUGCAUUUAAAUACGCAUCUGUGGGACAGUA